Molecule: ribosomal RNA, 1385 nt
Filed under: uncultured bacterium
Lineage: Bacteria
Description: bacterial SSU rRNA
Rfam family: Bacterial small subunit ribosomal RNA
Source: RNAcentral
AGAGUUUGAUCCUGGCUCAGGACGAACGCUGGCGGCGUGCUUAACACAUGCAAGUCGAACGGAGCACCCUUGAUUGAGGUUUCGGCCAAAUGAUAGGAAUGCUUAGUGGCGGACUGGUGAGUAACGCGUGAGGAACCUGCCUUUCAGAGGGGGACAACAGUUGGAAACGACUGCUAAUACCGCAUGACGCAUUUUGAUCGCAUGGUCGAAAUGCCAAAGAUUUAUCGCUGAAAGAUGGCCUCGCGUCUGAUUAGCUAGUUGGUGAGGUAACGGCCCACCAAGGCGACGAUCAGCAGCCGGACUGAGAGGUUGACCGGCCACAUUGGGACUGAGAUACGGCCCAGACUCCUACGGGAGGCAGCAGUGGGGAAUAUUGGGCAAUGGGCGCAAGCCUGACCCAGCAACGCCGCGUGAAGGAAGAAGGCUUUCGGGUUGUAAACUUCUUUUAAGUGGGAAGAGUAGAAGACGGUACCACUUGAAUAAGCCACGGCCAACUACGUGCCAGCAGCCGCGGUAAUACGUAGGUGGCAAGCGUUGUCCGGAAUUAUUGGGCGUAAAGGGAGCGCAGGCGGGAAACUAAGCGGAUCUUAAAAGUGCGGGGCUCAACCCCGUGAUGGGGUCCGAACUGGUUUUCUUGAGUGCAGGAGAGGAAAGCGGAAUUCCCAGUGUAGCGGUGAAAUGCGUAGAUAUUGGGAAGAACACCAGUGGCGAAGGCGGCUUUCUGGACUGUAACUGACGCUGAGGCUCGAAAGCUAGGGUAGCGAACGGGAUUAGAUACCCCGGUAGUCCUAGCCGUAAACGAUGGAUACUAGGUGUGGGAGGUAUCGACCCCUUCCGUGCCGGAGUUAACGCAAUAAGUAAUCCACCUGGGGAGUACGACCGCAAGGUUGAAACUCAAAGGAAUUGACGGGGGCCCGCACAAGCAGUGGAGUAUGUGGUUUAAUUCGACGCAACGCGAAGAACCUUACCAAGUCUUGACAUCCUGCGACGGACAUAGAAAUAUGUUUUUCCUUCGGGACGCAGAGACAGGUGGUGCAUGGUUGUCGUCAGCUCGUGUCGUGAGAUGUUGGGUUAAGUCCCGCAACGAGCGCAACCCUUAUGGUCAGUUACUACGCAAGAGGACUCUGGCCAGACUGCCGUUGACAAAACGGAGGAAGGUGGGGAUGACGUCAAAUCAUCAUGCCCUUUAUGACUUGGGCUACACACGUACUACAAUGGCGUUAAACAAAGAGAAGCAAGACCGCGAGGUGGAGCAAAACUCAGAAACAACGUCCCAGUUCGGACUGCAGGCUGCAACUCGCCUGCACGAAGUCGGAAUUGCUAGUAAUCGCAGAUCAGCAUGCUGCGGUGAAUACGUUCCCGGGCCUUGCACACACCGCCCGUCA